CUGCGAAUGGCUCAUUAAAUCAGUUAUCGUUUAUUUGAUAGUACCUUACUACUUGGAUAACCGUGGUAAUUCUAGAGCUAAUACAUGCUGAAAACCCCAACUUCGGGAGGGGUGUAUUUAUUAGAUAAAAAACCAACGCCCUUCGGGGCUUCUUGGUGAUUCAUGAUAACUUUACGGAUCGCAUGGCCUUGCGCCGGCGACGGUUCAUUCAAAUUUCUGCCCUAUCAACUUUCGAUGGUAAGGUAUUGGCUUACCAUGGUUUCAACGGGUAACGGGGAAUUAGGGUUCGAUUCCGGAGAGGGAGCCUGAGAAACGGCUACCACAUCCAAGGAAGGCAGCAGGCGCGCAAAUUACCCAAUCCCGACACGGGGAGGUAGUGACAAUAAAUACUGAUACAGGGCUCUUUUGGGUCUUGUAAUUGGAAUGAGUACAAUUUAAACCUCUUAACGAGGAACAAUUGGAGGGCAAGUCUGGUGCCAGCAGCCGCGGUAAUUCCAGCUCCAAUAGCGUAUAUUAAAGUUGUUGCAGUUAAAAAGCUCGUAGUUGAACCUUGGGUCUGGCUGGCAGGUCCGCCUCACCGCGUGUACUUGUCCGGCCGGGCCUUCCUUCUGGAGAACCUCAUGCCCUUCACUGGGCGUGUUGGGGACCAGGACUUUUACUUUGAAAAAAUUAGAGUGUUCAAAGCAGGCCUUUGCUCGAAUACGUUAGCAUGGAAUAAUAGAAUAGGACGUGCGGUCCUAUUUUGUUGGUUUCUAGGACCGCCGUAAUGAUUAAUAGGGACAGUCGGGGGCAUCAGUAUUCAAUUGUCAGAGGUGAAAUUCUUGGAUUUAUUGAAGACUAACUACUGCGAAAGCAUUUGCCAAGGAUGUUUUCAUUAAUCAGUGAACGAAAGUUAGGGGAUCGAAGACGAUCAGAUACCGUCGUAGUCUUAACCGUAAACUAUGCCGACUAGGGAUCGGGCGAUGUUCUUUUUCUGACUCGCUCGGCACC
RNAcentral lists this ribosomal RNA (990 nucleotides) under Phaeosphaeriaceae sp. RNAcentral describes it as "SSU rRNA". It matches the Rfam family "Eukaryotic small subunit ribosomal RNA", at positions 87 to 1087 of the family's 1831-position model. The record is from RNAcentral. Lineage: Eukaryota; Fungi; Ascomycota; Dothideomycetes; Pleosporales; Phaeosphaeriaceae.